CUUCCCACUGUAUGAGGUUGGGUGGGAAGCAGUCUGUCUCCACCGUAGAAGCGAAAACGCCGGAUGCUUUUGUCUGGCUUCUUGUGGCCUACGGCAGGGAUGGGCAUACGUCAUGGGUUUGACUGAUCAGCUGCCUGCACCCCGCAUUAGAAAUUGGGAGCUAGCGAUGCACAGAAGCAGGGCAGAGAGGAAGCUGUUCCGGCCUUCUGGCCCGGAGGUGGCCCCGGUGAGCAGCAUCGGUAACAUCCGUUAGCAGCAGCAGCACGGGCCGCGGGGCCGGUGGCGGCCUCUGCAUCCGUACCCGAGGUCUGGGGGCUGCCGGCGGUGGCUUCUACUGUUCUGUGCGGGCAGCCGUGGUGUCCGGGGCUCUUCGCUCUGGCUCCGGCUGCGGAGUCUUUAUCUGUUCGCGUCCUUUUUCUGGCCUCGUUGGCGGUGCAGCGGUGAGUCUGUGAGCUGCACGGGAGCCUUGCCGUAGAUUUCUUUCCUCGACCCUUCAUUAAUUUUAAAGAUGCUUGGCACCUUUCUGGAUUCUCUUUUUUCUGUACCAAGCCUGGGACCCAGCCUGUCACUUUACAGUAGCAUUCUCCAACACUCUGGAUCCCCCGCCACCAUGACCCAAAGGUUGGUUGCUGAAAUGGAGCAGGUGCCAUGGGAAUUAAACUGCAUGUCUGUGCUGUCAAAUGGAUGUCAAUACUUCUGCAAGGAGGUCAAGGCUAAGACAAUUCAAGAACACCAGCUUUGAAGUCAGAUGUACCUGAGUUCAAAUCCUGCCUCUGGUCGUUGACAGUGUACUCAGCGUUAGAUAAGGUGGUCUCUCAUGCCUCCAUUUGCUCAUCUGUGACAUAGAGCUACAGGAUCUGCUGGGCUGGACAUCUUCCAUGUGCCCUGCCAGAUGUCACUCUACCCUUCCCCACUCUGCGCUGUGCCCUGAAGCUCCCCUGCCCUCUGGCUCCACGUGGGAAGCGCCCAGAGCCAGGUUCACGCAGCUGCCUCCCGGGAGCGCCCGCGGUGGUCCAGACUUCUUCAAAUGCAGCCUGAAUGCCACCGCUAAGCACCAAACACUGGCCCCUGGAGUAAGGCUAACUGUGUAGCCUGUAAUCUGACAUGGUUCCUGAUCUGCCAGGAGUCUAACUUUAAUUUCCACUUCUUCCCCUUGAUGGACCCUCAUGCUGAUGACACCGCAUUCCUCGCUCACUAUUUCCUGACCACAUCCAUGCAAUUCCCGACCUUGUGCCUCAACUUCUGCUGUUCCCUGCUAGGUCCUGACUACACAGGGCUAAGUUCUACCUUUUGCUUUGGCCUGGCUCAAGUGCCUUUAAGGCAUUCUUCCCCUCAACUCCCAGGCACAGGGAUUGUUCUCUUGCAAGAACUCCUAUGCCCUAUCCUCUGUCACCGUGUAUCUUUCUUUCAGCACUUUAUCACUUCCUGCUUUGUAUUACAAUUGUGUGUUUUAUUUCCCCUGCUUAUUUGUAAGUCCUCUGGUGAAAUGUCUGCAUUUUAUUCAUCCUGUGCCUCCCACAAUUGCUUGCCCACGCAGGCUGCUCAACAGAUCCUUCGUGAAUGAUGGAUGUGGUGGUGCUGGUGGGUAAUGUCCAUAGGCUGGGUGAAUGACUUGAAAAAGCACUUGUUUGGGGUGUUCUUCAGCUGUACGAGCAAGCACCGUGUUUCUGUACAGUACCACUCAUGUUGAGGGAAGGGAUGAGGAGUAAAGUCAUCCCUAAUCUCUCUUUUGGAUCACUGCUACUUAUAGUUCAUGACAAAACACUGUCUAAAAAGGCUCGCUGGGGGUAACCCUGCAUGAAUGAUGAUAUUCCAGAACGGAUGGUGGGCUCCAGGGGGAGGGGAAAGUGUGAAGGGAGAGUGUAAAGGGAAAUUUUCACUCUCUGCCUGCCAACCAGGAAAAAUGGAAUACAUCCUCUAUGCUAGCGUCUUUGAUUCCCCUUAUAACACGAGGACACAUCAUAAUGAAUUAACAUUUAUGUCUCAGUGAUAAAUUCAGCCAAGAUGUAUUGAACUUGCACGGUGUGUCCCAGCGCUGUCACGUGCCUUGGGGGAUACCGGGGACCAGAGGCAGGGUCUCUGCCCCUAAUUUAUUGCUCAGCUUUACCUGGGAAGCAAAAUCUAAAAACAAUACCAUCCACAGAGAGGAGGCCUAUGGAUGGGCUCAUUAUUCGACAACUCUGCCCUAAAGCCAUUCAUGCGUUGAAAGCAUUUUAAUACAAUUUGAGGCCACGUUAUGUGAGCCAGAUUCUCCAUGCCUGAGUUACUCUCUGGGCACAAAUAAGGUUCUUCUGAGGUAGCCAGGGGUAAAAAUAGCUUACCGUGGACUUUGACUUGGCGUUAAACAUGUUAACCUCUUAUGAAGCAACCUUCACUGGCUACCUGCUUCUGUGGCUCCAGACUGACCCUUUACUUCUGUCCCUCAUCUCAGAAACGUCGACCGACACGCUGCUCAUGGCCAUUCGGGGAAAGUGCCCAGAACGGUCUUGGAUCCUGUGGGCAGAGCACAGGGGCACAGGCAGCCUGCUGGGGCUGCUGUUGGCAGGAGAAAGGAGCAAGAUGAACAGACGUCAGCCUUGCAGCUGCUCUAAUGACCCUGCCCAAAGGAAAGCCACUCUAAAAAUAGAAUCAAAGGGAACAAAUGGUCUGCCUGACAACCUGUUUUGAGGGGCAGGAGGCUGGAGGAUUCAAAAAAUGAAAGUAUGUUAUCAAGGAGGAUGAAAAACAUACAGAUUGGAAAAGUUUUAAGGCAUGAUUUUUACCAAAAAGCUCAUUUGGUCAAGUUCAUAGCUAUGUGGCAUCUAUAGAGAUUAAGUUAAACAUGUAACAUUGCCAGUAUCAGAUACAGCCUGAUGCAUCUGUUCUGGUUUUAUGCGAUGCUUCCUAUAUUUAACAAAGCCCUUGGUAUCUUAGGAACACAAUUUAAAACAUUUUCAUAGUAAACCACAGGCCUUUGAACUGGUGUUAAGGAGAAAACCCUAAAGACUCCACAAAAAACUGCUG
Leptonychotes weddellii (Weddell seal) is the source of this 3003-nucleotide long non-coding RNA. RefSeq lists it as uncharacterized. The record is from RefSeq and is a predicted model, not a curated record. Lineage: Eukaryota; Metazoa; Chordata; Mammalia; Carnivora; Phocidae.